GGAAAGCUUUCUUGAAGUUCUACAGUUAACUCUCUGAUCCGAAUUCCAAGGGAGAUAGCGUUUUGUUCGGAUUAUAUAGAGAUUCAGAUGGUAGAAAGGCUCCCUUUUUCAAAUUUCAGGCUUGAAGCGUGAAAAUUCGGAUUAGAGAGAGAAAUAGGAAAAUUUGUGAAAAGGAAAAGUGGUGAAAAUGAAAAAAUGAGCAAUAUAAUCUUUGUGAUACGAUUUAUUUAUUGCUGCAAAAGUGUUCAAUCGAUUGUUUCUUGUUUGAUAAAUUGAUCGGGAUCAUCAUCCUCAAUAUCGUUUUCACAAUUACGUCCACUCAUUUCGGCAAUGAUAUCUACAUCAGAAAUACAAUACAGGAUACGCUGAUCUCGAAGUCAAUAUCAACGAUCUUGUCUGCUGUUAAUUCGAAGUCCACGUUGAAUUUAUCACUUUAAUCACUUAAAGACCCUGUAAAUUUUCGACGACCUCUUUUUUUUUAUUCAAACUCGCGAAUGGGUCAUCAUCGUCGUUUAAAGCCUUCUAGAGAGACUCUUUAGAAACACCAGAUAUUUUGAAGCAGUUUAAAAGUUUUAAGUUUCAUCAAAUUGACGGUGACUUAUUCGUUCGAAUUAUAGAAAGAUUCGAAUAAUAGAGAUUCGGAUUAGAGAGAGUCAACUGUAUGCCAUUAUGGAAAAUUGAAAAAAUUGUUUUGUUUCAAGUUAUUUCGGUUUAAAACGUUUAUCAUAACAGAAAGAAAGUUUAUUUAGUCGUGUCUGUCAAGCAUUUGGAAAAUUGUCAAGCAGCAUGCUUUGAACACGUGUAAAUAUCAGACCAUUUCCAUUACGAUGUACUCCCCCUCAUCAAUUUAAAAUUACGAAACUCCUGAUAAGUUGCUUUUAUACCAAAGCUUUUUAUCAUCAACAACGGAGUGCCGCAAUAUCAAUAACAGCUGUAAUUGAACAUUGCUUCCACGAAGUCCGAAAGGUUGACGACCUUUUUUAAAACGUGUUUUUAUUGCGAUGUAACAACGAAUUUUUUUAUAAGCUAUUCAGAAGAAGUGAAAGGAAAGAUUGAAAAUGUAUUUGCUUUGACUACAAGAAGGGUCGAAAUCAACUACUAGAAUUUUCUAUUAAUUAAUGCAACUCUUGUUACCAUAUUUCCAUAUUAUCAACAUCGAUACAAUUUAAAACAAAGUCAGUCAACAAAAAAAAAAAUCGAUAAUGUUCGCCGGAGACUCGAUAACGUUAUCGGUUACAAACGUAGAGAUAUUUUUAGUAACAUUUGAUUGCUUGGCUUUAAUCGGCUGUGGUCUUUCAUUCUUAUUAAAAGCUUCAGAAUCCACGGCGGCAUGUUUUUCACCGAGUUUGGCAUUCAUCAUAAAAAACGAGAACAAGAAACUUGUGCACACAGUGGAGUUGAUCUGGAGAAUUUCAGUACUAUGUUGUAUUCUGUUAAUGAUUUUAGUAUCCUGCACAACCCGGUUGGAAGACACGGGAUACUGUUUAUUGUUAAUGUGCGUUCAUGUUGCUGUUAUAACGAUUAACUUUGCGACGUUGCAUGUCGCAAUACUUGGGGUCGAGGAUUCGACCAAGAAAAGUCUACUCCGAAAAAAAAGUGUGUUGUUAAAUAUUUAGAAAUAAACAAACUUUAUAUACAUACAUUAGAUAUUUUUAUUAAUUUAAUAUUAUCUUUCUUUAAAAGGA
Long non-coding RNA from Hydractinia symbiolongicarpus, 1685 nucleotides. RefSeq lists it as uncharacterized. The transcript has 2 exons. The record is from RefSeq and is a predicted model, not a curated record. NCBI's taxonomy places the organism in Eukaryota, Metazoa, Cnidaria, Hydrozoa, Anthoathecata, Hydractiniidae.